AGAUGGAGUAAGAAUUUGACGGUAGAGACGAAAGAAAAAAAAAGAAGCAAAACAAAAUAGAGAAAGAGAAAGAAAGAGAGGAUGGUGAUAAAGAAAAUCGAGCUAUGCAUAGAGAUUACGAAGAUAACAAUGGAGUUCUUGGUGGUGGUGGCUGACGCCGUCACAAUCUUCUUAAG
RNAcentral lists this small RNA (176 nucleotides) under Arabidopsis thaliana (thale cress). RNAcentral's name for it is "ATSL101600". Lineage: Eukaryota; Viridiplantae; Streptophyta; Magnoliopsida; Brassicales; Brassicaceae. The record is from RNAcentral.